This 500-nucleotide ribosomal RNA is filed under the name uncultured bacterium. RNAcentral's name for it is "partial 16S ribosomal RNA". It matches the Rfam family "Bacterial small subunit ribosomal RNA", at positions 29 to 523 of the family's 1533-position model. The record is from RNAcentral.
AUUGAACGCUGGCGGCAUGCCUUACACAUGCAAGUCGAACGGCAGCACGGGAGCAAUCCUGGUGGCGAGUGGCGAACGGGUGAGUAAUGUAUCGGAACGUGCCCAGUCGUGGGGGAUAACGUAGCGAAGGCUACGCUACUACCGCAUACGAUCGGCGGAUGAACGCGGGGGAUCGGAAGGCCUCCCGCGAUUGGAGGGGCCGAUAUCAGAUUAGGUAGUUGGUGGGGUAAAGGCCUACCAAGCCGACGAUCUGUAGCUGGUCUGAGAGGACGACCAGCCACACUGGGACUGAGACACGGCCCAGACUCCUACGGGAGGCAGCAGUGGGGAAUUUUGGACAAUGGGCGCAAGCCUGAUCCAGCAAUGCCGCGUGCAGGAUGAAGGCCUUCGGGUUGUAAACUGCUUUUGUACGGAGCGAAAAGGCUCUCUCUAAUACAGGGGGCUCAUGACGGUACCGUAAGAAUAAGCACCGGCUAACUUCGUGCCAGCCGCCGCCGUAA